GACGAACGCUGGCGGCGUGCUUAACACAUGCAAGUCGAACGAAGUGGCGAACGGGUGAGUAACGCGUAAUCAACCUGCCCUUCAGAGGGGGACAACAGUUGGAAACGACUGCUAAUACCGCAUACUGAAGGAGGGGAUUGCGUCUGAUUAGCUAGUUGGAGGGGUAACGGCCCACCAAGGGGAGGAUCAGUAGCCGGUCCUGAGGGAGGAACGGCCACAUUUGGAAUGAGACAAGGCCCAGACUCCUACGGGAGGCAGCAGUGGGGAAUCUUCGGAAAUGGACGAAAGUCUGACGGAGGAACGCCGGGUGAGUGAUGACGGGCUUCGGGUUGUAAAGCUCUGUUAAUCGGGACGCGGUACCGGAAGAGAAAGCCACGGCUAACUACGUGCCAGCAGCCGCGGUAAUAC
This 408-nucleotide ribosomal RNA is filed under the name uncultured bacterium. RNAcentral describes it as "partial 16S ribosomal RNA". It matches the Rfam family "Bacterial small subunit ribosomal RNA", at positions 28 to 526 of the family's 1533-position model. The record is from RNAcentral.